UCGGAGCUCUGGGGCGGGGCGGCCGGGCUCAGAGGGCGGGCGGGAGCAGCGGGAGCAGGGGCGCCCCGGGCGCCGGGGCCGCUGGGGACGAACGCGGCGGGUCAGGCCCCGAAGCCCGGGCCGCGGUGGCCGCCUCAGGCGCCCGCUCUGGGGUGGGGGUGGGGGCAUCUUUCGGGACCGAACUCGCCGCAGCCUCCCUCUUUGUGCUCCUUUCCCCUGCUGCCCUUCCAGAUGCGCUCUUUCCAGAAAGGCAGCACACGCAUGUCUCUGCCGUGGCCCCAGAUCCUCCCCGCGCCGCCGUUUUGAGCGUUCACACUCAUUACCCAGGUCCGUCUGGGAGACCCGCCGGGCUCCCGCCCUCCCGGCCCGCAGCCUCCUGGCCAAAAUCCUCCCGGGACACCCCACCUGGACUGCUGCGAACGGGCCUCCACCCGCCUCCCCGGACCCGCAGCGCCCCCCGCUCCCUCAGGGUUCUGGGGUGAAGGGGUCUGAAUAGCACCAGGGGAGGCGGCAGGGCGGGCCUGUCCUACCUGCGCCCGAGCACUGCUGAGACGACAUCCCUUCCAGCGCCGCCACGUAGUCCAGCCCCAGCCAGCCGCGGUCCUGGAAGCACCGCAGGCAGACGACCUGCUCCUCACUGGGCUCAGGCAGGGUCACCCGCCCAGUGCCGCUAGCUGCAAAUUGCUUUACAUACAGUGACCCAAAGAGCAAGUCAUUUCAGGGCCCCACCACUCUGAUUGGAAGUCAUAAGCUUGACAACUGAUUGGCCUCUGUCACCCAAGCGGGUGUGGGGACACUAGGCCCGCAGGUGCCACUGGAAGAGGCGUUCAGAAGCACUGCGGUGCUCCAGCUCCUGGAUGCAGGUCUGAGGCCUGAGAUGUCCAGGAAGAAAGACCCAGAAAUGAGGGAUGGUGUGGGUGGGAUUCCUGAGCGUUCUGCUAGGCCUGCUGAGCACUUCUUGGCCUUUUCCAUAAGGCUUUCUCACUCUGUCUUACAGAUAUCUCCCCACAAACCUAAACAAUUUCGAGAGGGACUUGUGUUCUGCAACCAGUCACAGAAUAUCAGGUGAGCUGGGCGUGUCUUCACUGACCCACCCGCCCAGGGAUGCUGCACUCCUCUCCACCCUGCUCAGAAUCACUAGAAUGACCGUUCUGUGGCUACAGCCCUAAAAGAGCUACUAAAAAGACCAGAAGUAGUAUGAGAACUUAUGAAUACGAAUAUAAAUAAAGGACAUCUGGAGAACAUGC
This 1247-nucleotide long non-coding RNA is filed under the name Homo sapiens (human). Its description in RNAcentral is "HSALNT0317630". The record is from RNAcentral. Lineage: Eukaryota; Metazoa; Chordata; Mammalia; Primates; Hominidae.